Molecule: ribosomal RNA, 308 nt
Filed under: uncultured bacterium
Lineage: Bacteria
Description: bacterial SSU rRNA
Rfam family: Bacterial small subunit ribosomal RNA
Source: RNAcentral
GAUGACGCGUAGGCGGCGUGCUUAACACAUGCAAGUCGAACGAAGACAGUCUGAGUGCUUGCACUUGGAUGGACUGAGUGGCGGACGGGUGAGUAACGCGUGGGUAACCUGCCUUAUACAGGGGGAUAACAGUUGGAAACGACUGCUAAUACCGCAUAAGCGCACGGUAUCGCAUGAUACAGUGUGAAAAACUCCGGUGGUAUAAGAUGGACCCGCGUCUGAUUAGCUGGUUGGUGAGGUAACGGCCCACCAAGGCGACGAUCAGUAGCCGGCCUGAGAGGGUGAACGGCCACAUUGGGACUGAGACA